Molecule: RNA transcript, 5565 nt
Organism: Eriocheir sinensis (Chinese mitten crab)
Lineage: Eukaryota; Metazoa; Arthropoda; Malacostraca; Decapoda; Varunidae
Exons: 3
Source: RefSeq, a predicted model, not a curated record
GAUAAAGAAGAACGAAAGUUAGAAAAGAUAGAUAAGAGUAAAUGUUUAAGAGUGAUGUAUACAAAUGUAGAUGGAUUAAUAACUAGUAAAUUGGAACUGCAAGAUUUCAUAAAGGAGAAAGAACCAAUGAUCGUAUGCUUAACGGAAACCAAACUGAACGAAGCUAUUAAAUUAGAGAUAAAUAAAAACUAUGAUAUAUGGAGGAAAGAUAGAAUGGGCAAAGGGGGAGGUGGAGUGAUGAUAAUGACAAAAAAGGAGUUAACAGUGAAAGUGGUAGAAUACGGUGAAGGUAAAGCUGAAAUUGCGAAAGUAAAUGUGGAAACCAAAAACAAGGAAAGGUUGACAAUUAUAACCGCAUAUGUACCACCUAGAACAAACUCAUGGUGUAAGGAAGAGCACGACACUAUGAUCAAUGACACUAUACGGAGUUUAAGCAAAAUGCUAAAGGAAGACAAAAAAGUUAUGCUAGUUGGUGACUUCAAUUGUAAAGAGAUUGACUGGGAGACAUUCGAGAGUAAUAGUGGAGAUAACGCAUGGGGAGAUAGAUUCCUAAGAUUGAUGAUGGAGAAUCUUAUGUUACAAAGAGUGAAUGAACAUGCAAGAUAUAGAAGUGACGAUGAACCGGCAAGACUGGACCUAGUACUAACAAAAGGAAUAUACAUCAAGGAUGAACUAAGGUAUGGAUGUCCACUGGGCAAGAGUGAUCAUGUAACCAUAGAGAUUGAUACAGAAGUGGAGGUUACUAAAGAGGACGAAUCCUACAAAUCAAACAGGCUAAACUAUAUUAAGACAGACAUGGAAAACCUUCGGAAGUUUUACAAGAAAGUGGAAUGGGAUGAGUUACUGAGAAAAAAUAAAGUACAAGAAAAGUAUGAUAUCUUUAUGGAAGCCUAUAACACUGGUGUCAAAAAAUAUGUACCCGUAUACAGACCCAAAGUUAAGGGUAGGAAGGACUGGUUUAAUGCCAAAUGUGCAAACGCAAAAGAAAAAAGGGACAAAGCAUGGAAAAGACUAAAAAGAAGGAAGAAUCAAAGAAACAAAGAAGACUUCAGAAUGGCGAGAAAUGAAUAUGUGAAAAUAAGGAAAGAAGAAGAAAAGGGAUAUGAGAAGGAUAUUGUGGAAAAAUGCAAAGAACAGCCCAAGUUGUUUUAUAGAUUUAUAAAUGGGAAGACUAAACCGAAAGAAACAAUAGAAAGACUGAGAGACGGGAAUGUGGAAGUCAAUGACCCUAAAGGUAUGGCAGAGUUAUUAAAUAGAAAAUUCCAGCAAGUCUUUACCAAAGAAACAAUGUUUAUUGUGCCACAAGAGAAUAAAAUAGAAGUUCAUAUGGAAGAGAUUAUGGUAAACAAAGAAGAGAUCCAUAAAUUACUGGGAGAACUAGAAGAGGGAAAAGCAGUAGGACCGGAUGGAGUUUCUGGGUAUAUUUUAAAAAAAUGUAGAGAUGAAUUAAUUGUUCCAAUAUACGACAUCAUUAGAUGCUCAGUAGCAACAGAUACGGUGCCCAAUGAGUGGAGAAGGGCUGAAGUGGUCCCCAUAUAUAAAAGUGGAAGGAAAGAUGAACCUUCAAACUACAGACCCAUAUCCCUGACAAGUGUUUUGUGCAAAAUAUGUGAGAAAAUAAUAAAGAAGCAGUGGACUAAAUUUCUAGAAGAGCAUAAGUUAAUUACCAGCAAACAAUAUGGAUUUCAAAAGGGCCGAUCAUGUGUUACAAACUUACUCAGUUUUUACUCAAGAGUGACAGACAGAACUCAGGAAAGGGAUGGAUGGGUUGAUUGUAUUUAUCUAGAUUUGAAAAGGCCUUUGACAAAGUUCCACAUACAAGACUAUUAUGGAAACUGGAAAAUAAAGGAGGAUUGAAAGGAAAUAUGAAAAAAUGGAUGGCAAGCUACCUAAUGGGAAGGAGAUGAGAACUGUGGUCAAGGACAUAAAAUCAGAAUGGAGAAAUGUAGAAAGCGGAGUACCACAGGGUUCAGUAUUAGCACCGAUAAUCUUCCUGGUAUAUGUAAAUGACAUGGCUGAAGGAGUUAAUAGCUACAUAAACCUGUUUGCUGACGACGCUAAAUUACAAAAACAUAUAAGAAACAAAGAAGAUUGUGAAAUAUUGCAAGAAGACCUAUACAAAAUUUGGAAAUGGAGUAUGGAUUGGGAGAUGGAAUUUAAUGUGAAAAAAUGUCAUGUUAUGGAAAUGGGUAAAAGUGAAACAAGACCAAUCUGGAUAUACAAAAUGGGAAAUGGUGAAACAUUAAAAAAAGUGCAUGAAGAGAGAGACCUGGGAGUAGUGAUGAGGGAUGAUAAUCAACCAGAGAGUCAUAUAAAUCGGAUCUUUAGAGACACAUAUAACUUGGUGAGAAAUAUUGGAGUAGCAUUUAGCUACAUGGACAAGGACAUGAUGAGAAGGCUAAUCACUACCAUGAUUAGACCAAAAUUAGAAUAUGCAGAGGUAGUGUGGUCCCCCCAUAAGAAGAAGCAUAUAAAGAAACUAGAAAGAAUACAGAGGAUGGCAUCAAAAAUGGUCCCAGAGUUGGAGGGAUUAAUAUACGAGGAAAGAUUAAAGGAAAUGAACUUAACAACACUGGAACAAAGAAGAGAAAGGGGAGACCUAAUCCAAAUUUAUAAAUUAUUAAGCAAAAUAGAUCAAGUAGAUAAUGAAGAACUGCUACUAACAGAAGGAAACAUAAGCAGAAAUACAAGAGGACACAGUAAAAAAUUGAGAAAGGGGAGAUGCUUGAGAGACACUAAGAAGUAUAGCUUCCCGCAAAGAAAUGUAGAGGUUUGGAACAGUCUGAGCGAGGAUACAGUAUCAGCGAGGAGUGUGCAAAGCUUUAAAGAUAAGUUGGAUAAAUGCAGACACGGAGACGGGACCACACGAGCAUAAUGCCCAGGCCCUGUAAAACUACAACUAGGUAAAUACACACACACACACACACACACACACACACAUGCAUACAGACACACACCAGAAUUGGUUUGGGAAUUCUAUUUUCUCAUCAGCUUCCUGUCUAUCCCCUGUCUGCCUGUAGCACCAGUAGGCCCUCUUGGACGGCCCCAGCCCAUUAGCGGUCUUAGCCAGGUCUUUCUCUGCCUCUGUGGUGGAUAGUGGAGUGUUUCCCAUGUGGUAUUGGUGUGCUGGAUAUCCCUUCACUGGUAGCCUGGUAACAUACACUCCCAGGUCUUUCUCUGCCUCUGUGGUGGAUAGUGGAGUGUUUACCAUGUGGUAUUGGUGUGCUGGAUAUCCCUUCACUGGUAGCCUGGUAACAUACACUCCCAGGUCUUUCUCUGCCUCUGUGGUGGAUAGUGGAGUGUUUCCCAUGUGGUAUUGGUGUGCUGGAUAUCCCUUCACUGGUAGCCUGGUAACAUACACUCCCAUGUCUUUCUCUGCCUCUGUGGUGGAUAGUGGAGUGUUUCCUAUGUGGUAUUGGUGUGCUGGAUAUCCCUUCACUGGUAGCCUGGUAACAUACACUCCUAGGUCUUUCUCUGCCUCUGUGGUGGAUAGUGGAGUGUUUCCCAUGUGGUAUUGGUGUGCUGGAUAUCCCUUCACUGGUAGCCUGGUAACAUACACUCCCAGGUCUUUCUCUGCCUCUGUGGUGGAUAGUGGAGUGUUUCCCAUGUGGUAUUGGUAUGCUGGAUAUCCCUUCACUGGUAGCCUGGUAACAUACACUCCCAGGUCUUUCUCUGCCUCUGUGGUGGAUAGUGGAGUGUUUCCCAUGUGGUAUUGGUGUGCUGGAUAUCCCUUCACUGGUAGCCUGGUAACAUACACUCCCAGGUCUUUCUCUGCCUCUGUGGUGGAUAGUGGAGUGUUUCCCACGUGGUAUUGGUAUGCUGGAUAUCCCUUCACUGGUAGCCUGGUCACAUACACUCCCAGGUCUUUCUCUGCCUCUGUGGUGGAUAGUGGAGUGUUUCCCAUGUGGUAUUGGUGUGCUGGAUAUCCCUUCACUGGUAGCCUGGUCACAUACACUCCCAGGUCUUUCUCUGCCUCUGUGGUGGAUAGUGGAGUUUUUCCCACGUGGUAUUGGUGUGCUGGAUAUCCCUUCACUGGUAGCCUGGUCACAUACACUCCCAGGUCUUUCUCUGCCUCUGUGGUGGAUAGUGGAGUGUUUCCCAUGUGGUAUUGGUGUGCUGGAUAUCCCUUCACUGGUAGCCUGGUCACAUACACUCCCAGGUCUUUCUCUGCCUCUGUGGUGGAUAGUGGAGUGUUUCCCAUGUGGUAUUGGUGUGCUGGAUAUCCCCUCCCAAGGUGCAGGACUUAACAUUUUUCAUCAUUGCAUUGUAGCAGCCACUUUUUGUUCCACUCCCAUAGCUUUUUGAUGUCUUCUUGUAGGAAAUCCACAGUCAAGGGGUUAAAAAUAGGCCUUUCUGACAAACUGUUGCAAUUUUUAUAACACUCUUAUUUCCCUUAUAAGAUUACAUUACGUCGUUUGUCUGGUGGAGAACAGUUUUGAUUCUUCGCGGAGACAAACAAAGGGAAACAAUUCAAAGUGUUUUUAUUCCUCUUAAUAAUGAACAAAUACUUGACUUCUGGGCUGCCAACAGAGUAAUGGAUUGUUUCAUCUUUAGGGCGAACAAAGAAAUUAGCGCCUGAAUAUUCAAACGCUGUAUUAGCCUUCGUCAAGAACACUGUGGCUGACUUGUCUUUGCUGGUUUGUUAAUGUGUUGACUUCACUCUGAAAAUCCAGGACUUCUAGCUAACAACUCCAUCUCAAAAUUAGAAGCAAAGUCACACCAGCCACAGAGCUUGACACUACUACCACGCUUGAAAAACCCGGCGUACAUGACUAAACGAUAUAUGUAUGUACCUCCUUGAGACGACAAGUAAUAUAUGGAGCCGAAAAGAACCUCCUCGUAACCGACUCUACGUAACCGUUAAUCCCGAGCCUGUGUUGUCGUUCCGAGUCGGAAGAACUUAAAAUAUAUUGUCAUUACGAACUCUCUCUUUCAUAACACAAGUCCUACAGCAAUACUUCCUCUCCACAACACAAGUCCUACAGCAAUACUUCCUCUCCACAACACAAGUCCUACAGCAAUACUUCCUCUCCACAACACAAGUCCUACAGCAAUACUUCCUCUCCACAACACAAGUCCUACAGCAAUACUUCCUCUCCACAACACAAGUCCUACAACAAUACAAGGAUCGUAAUGUUACGUCUACGUAAAGACGAGAAAUAAGCAAACAGUGAGUGCUGGGAUGACGUAACCUUGCCUCAACGUACAGAGAUCAAAGUGUGAAUUGAGGUUACUUAUACAAACAUCUCGCAGGUUAAGGUUGACAUACCUUAUAUAUCGUUAGUUUAAGAGACGUAAUCUUGCCUAUACGUACAGAGAUCAAAAUAACAUAUCUCGAGGGUAGGGUUCACGUAACUUGUAUUUCGUUAGUUUAAGGUUACGUAUACUUACAAUAACGUUGUAAAGAGGGAAAGAAUAAAGGAAAGAAAGAAGGUGUGUUGAAAGGUCAUCUUAUCGCCUACAAACACCUAGAGACAAACAUUGGGGUGAGGGAGGGAGGGAAGGGUAGCACACACACACACACACACACACACACACACACACACACACACACACACACACAAA